CCCAGUCGGUAGUGAGGCAGCUAUGGGGCUAGAAGCACUGGUGCCCCUGGCCGUGACAGUGGCCAUCUUCCUGCUCCUGGUGGACCUGAUGCACCGGCGCCAACGCUGGACUGCACGCUACCCACCGGGCCCCCUGCCACUGCCCGGGCUGGGCAACCUGCUGCAUGUGGACUUCCAGAACACACCAUACUGCUUUGACCAGGUGAGGGAGGAGGUCCUGGAGGGCGGCAGAGGUCCUGAGGAUCCCCCACCACCAGCAAACAUGGGUGGUGGGUGAAACCACAGUCUGGACCAGAAGCCAGGCUGAGAAGGGGAAGCAGGUUUGGGGGACUUCCUGGGGGAGGGCAUUUAUACAUGGCAUGAAGGACUGGAUUUUCCAAAGGCCAAGGAAGAGUAGGGCAAGGGCCUGGAGGUGGAGCUGGACUUGGCAGUGGGCAUGCCAGCCCAUUGGGCAACAUAUGUUAUGGAGCACAAAGUCCCUUCUGCUGACACCAGAAGGCAAGGCCUUGGGAAUGGAAGACGAGUCAGGGUCCUGAGUGUCGUUUAAAUCAGGAAAUCAAGGAUGAAGGGAGUGCAGUGACCCGGUUCAAACCUUGUGCACUGUGGGUCCUCGGGCCUCACUGCUCACCGGCAUGGACCACCAUCUGUAAAAUGGGAUGCUAACUGGGGCCUAUCAGCAGUUUUGGUGACUCUUGCAAGGUCAUACCUGGGUGACGUUGACAGAGGCCCUGACCCUCCCUCUGCAGUUGCGGCGCCGCUUCGGGGACGUGUUCAGCCUGCAGCUGGCCUGGACGCCGGUGGUCGUGCUCAAUGGGCUGGCGGCCGUGCGCGAGGCGCUGGUGACCCGCGGUGAGGACACCGCCGACCGCCCGCCUGCACCCAUCACCCAGAUCCUGGGUUUCGGGCCACGUUCCCAAGGGGUGUUCCUGGCGCACUAUGGGCCCGCGUGGCGCGAGCAGAGGCGCUUCUCCGUGUCCACCUUGCGCAACUUGGGCCUGGGCAAGAAGUCGCUGGAGCAGUGGGUGACCGAGGAGGCCGCCUGCCUCUGUGCCGCCUUCGCUGACCACUCCGGACGCCCCUUUCGCCCCAACAACCUCCUGGACAAAGCCGUGAGCAACGUGAUCGCCUCCCUCACCUGUGGGCGCCGCUUCGAGUACGACGACCCUCGCUUCCUCAGGCUGCUGGACCUAGCUCAGGAGGGAUUGAAGGAGGAGACGGGCUUCCUGCGCGAGAUGCUGAAUGCUGUCCCCGUCCUGCUGCGCAUCCCUGGGGUGGCUGGCAAGGUCCUACGCUCCCAAAAGGCUUUCCUGGCCCAGCUGGAUGAGCUGCUAACUGAGCACAGGAUGACCUGGGACCCAGCCCAGCCACCCCGAAACCUGACUGAGGCCUUCCUGGCAGAGAUGGAGAAGGCCAAGGGGAACCCUGAGAGCAGCUUCAAUGAUGAGAACCUGCGCAUAGUGGUGGCUGACCUGUUCUCUGCUGGGAUGGUGACCACCUCGACCACGCUGGCCUGGGGCCUCCUGCUCAUGAUCCUACACCCAGAUGUGCAGCGCCGUGUCCAACAGGAGAUCGACGAUGUGAUAGGGCAGGUGCGGCGACCAGAGAUGGGUGACCAGGCUUGCAUGCCCUACACCACUGCCGUGAUUCACGAGGUGCAGCGCUUUGGGGACAUCGUCCCCCUGGGUGUGACCCAUAUGACAUCCCGUGACAUCGAAGUACAGGGCUUCCACAUUCCUAAGGGGACGACGCUCUUCACCAACCUGUCAUCGGUGCUGAAGGAUGAGGCCGUCUGGGAGAAGCCCUUCCGCUUCCACCCCGAACACUUCCUGGAUGCCCAGGGCCACUUUGUGAAGCCAGAGGCCUUCCUGCCUUUCUCAGCAGGCCGCCGCGCAUGCCUCGGGGAGCCCCUGGCCCGCAUGGAGCUCUUCCUCUUCUUCACCUGCCUGCUGCAGCGCUUCAGCUUCUCGGUGCCCGCCGGACAGCCCCAGCCCAGCCACCAUGGUGUCUUUGCUUUCCUGGUGACCCCAUCCCCCUAUGAGCUUUGUGCUGUGCCCCGCUAGAAUGGGGUACCUAGUCUCCAGCUGGCUCCCUAGCCAGGG
Molecule: small RNA, 2099 nt
Filed under: Pongo abelii (Sumatran orangutan)
Lineage: Eukaryota; Metazoa; Chordata; Mammalia; Primates; Hominidae
Description: retained intron
Source: RNAcentral